GUUCGGUCCCUAUCUGCCGUGGGUCGCUGGAGAACUGAGGGGGGCUGCUCCUAGUACGAGAGGACCGGAGUGGACGCAUCACUGGUGUUCGGGUUGUCAUGCCAAUGGCACUGCCCGGUAGCUAAAUGCGGAAGAGAUAAGUGCUGAAAGCAUCUAAGCACGAAACUUGCCCCGAGAUGAGUUCUCCCUGACUCCUUGAGAGUCCUGAAGGAACGUUGAAGACGACGACGUUGAUAGGCCGGGUGUGUAAGCGCAGCGAUGCGUUGAGCUAACCGGUACUAAUGAACCGUGAGGCUUAACCUUACAACGCCGAAGGUGUUU
Molecule: ribosomal RNA, 321 nt
Filed under: Escherichia coli
Lineage: Bacteria; Pseudomonadati; Pseudomonadota; Gammaproteobacteria; Enterobacterales; Enterobacteriaceae
Description: bacterial LSU rRNA
Rfam family: Bacterial large subunit ribosomal RNA
Source: RNAcentral